Molecule: long non-coding RNA, 410 nt
Filed under: Mustela putorius furo (domestic ferret)
Lineage: Eukaryota; Metazoa; Chordata; Mammalia; Carnivora; Mustelidae
Description: lncRNA (ENSMPUG00000031707.1)
Source: RNAcentral
CGGAACUGAGCACCCCGGACCCCUCCCUGCUCUCCCGUCCCCCCCGGACCUCAGCUUCCUCACUGGUAACAGGAGCAGUUGACAACGCUCCUUCCAGGCUGGCCUCUCCGGGCCUAGGGGAGGACUGUAAAGCAGGGACCAGGGGGCCAGGGAGCCGGAGCCCUGGGUCCCAGGCUGGGCUGCCUCAGACUGGCUGUGCGACCCUGGGCAGCCUGCUUGCUCUCUCUGAUUCACAGAGGGGAACUGGGUGCCAUUCCUGGAACAGAAGCGUAAGGACCACAUUUCUGAACUACUCCAAGGAAGCACAGUGGAGGGAGGCUGCCAGCUUCCCCUGCCUUACUUCACCCCUACGCAGGUGGGCUUCGGGGAGCCUCUCCUGGCCUUGAAUCAGAACUCCAGGAAGGAGCCAG